AUCACUUAAAGCGAUUCAGCGGAUGACGAUUGACGGAGCGAAGCGACGUCAAAGCGUAUACAAAGUCGAGUCGGUUUAAGGAUACGUUCGUUGGGUAGGGGAGCGUUCUGUAAGCCUGCGAAGGUGGCCUGUGAGGGUUGCUGGAGGUAUCAGAAGUGCGAAUGCUGACAUAAGUAACGAUAAAGCGGGUGAAAAGCCCGCUCGCCGGAAGACCAAGGGUUCCUGUCCAACGUUAAUCGGGGCAGGGUGAGUCGACCCCUAAGGCGAGGCCGAAAGGCGUAGUCGAUGGGAAACGGGUUAAUAUUCCCGUACUUGGUGUUACUGCGAAGGGGGGACGGAGAAGGCUAUGUUGGCCGGGCGACGGUUGUCCCGGUUUAAGCGUGUAGGUGUGUGUUCCAGGUAAAUCCGGUUCACUUUAACACUGAGGCGUGACGACGAGGCACUACGGUGCUGAAGCAACAAAUGCCCUGCUUCCAGGAAAAGCCUCUAAGCAUCAGGUAACAUCAAAUCGUACCCCAAACCGACACAGGUGGUCAGGUAGAGAAUACCAAGGCGCUUGAGAGAACUCGGGUGAAGGAACUAGGCAAAAUGGUGCCGUAACUUCGGGAGAAGGCACGCUGACACGUAGGUGAAGUGAUUUACUCAUGGAGCUGAAGUCAGUCGAAGAUACCAGCUGGCUGCAACUGUUUAUUAAAAACACAGCACUGUGCAAACACGAAAGUGGACGUAUACGGUGUGACGCCUGCCCGGUGCCGGAAGGUUAAUUGAUGGGGUCAGCGCAAGCGAAGCUCCUGAUCGAAGCCCCGGUAAACGGCGGCCGUAACUAUAACGGUCCUAAGGUAGCGAAAUUCCUUGUCGGGUAAGUUCCGACCUGCACGAAUGGCGUAAUGAUGGCCAGGCUGUCUCCACCCGAGACUCAGUGAAAUUGAACUCGCUGUGAAGAUGCAGUGUACCCGCGGCAAGACGGAAAGACCCCGUGAACCUUUACUAUAGCUUGACACUGAACAUUGAGCCUUGAUGUGUAGGAUAGGUGGGAGGCUUUGAAGUGUGGACGCCAGUCUGCAUGGAGCCGACCUUGAAAUACCACCCUUUAAUGUUU
This 1099-nucleotide ribosomal RNA is filed under the name Salmonella enterica. RNAcentral describes it as "partial 23S ribosomal RNA". It matches the Rfam family "Bacterial large subunit ribosomal RNA", at positions 1190 to 2215 of the family's 2925-position model. The record is from RNAcentral. Lineage: Bacteria; Pseudomonadati; Pseudomonadota; Gammaproteobacteria; Enterobacterales; Enterobacteriaceae.